AACGAACGCUGGCGGCGUGGAUAAGACAUGCAAGUCGAACGCUGAUUUCAAGGUAGCAAUAUUUUGAAGUUGGAGUGGCGCAAGGGUGUGUAACACGUGGGUAAUCUGCCGUGAAGCCUGGGAUAACUUGCUGAAAGGCGAGCUAAUACCGGAUGUGAAAAUCGGAAGGCAUCUUUUGAUUUUCAAAGUUGGGGACCGCAAGGCCUGACGCUUUAUGAUGAACCCGCGGCCUAUCAGCUAGUUGGUGAGGUAAUAGCUCACCAAGGCUAAGACGGGUAGCUGGUCUGAGAGGACGACCAGCCACACUGGAAC
Molecule: ribosomal RNA, 312 nt
Filed under: uncultured bacterium
Lineage: Bacteria
Description: bacterial SSU rRNA
Rfam family: Bacterial small subunit ribosomal RNA
Source: RNAcentral